RNAcentral lists this ribosomal RNA (468 nucleotides) under uncultured bacterium. Its description in RNAcentral is "partial 16S ribosomal RNA". It matches the Rfam family "Bacterial small subunit ribosomal RNA", at positions 28 to 507 of the family's 1533-position model. The record is from RNAcentral.
GACGAACGCUGGCGGCGUGCUUAACACAUGCAAGUCGAACGGAAAGGCCCGGCUUUUGUGGGUUGCUCGAGUGGCGAACGGGGGAGUAAAACGUGAGUAACCCCCACUUAACUUUGGGAUAACUUCAGGAAACUGGGGCUAAUACCGGAUAGAAGCUCCUGCUGCAUGUGGGGGGUUGGAAAGUUUCGGCGGUUGGGGCUGGACUCGCGGCUUAUCAGCUUGUUGGUGGGGUAGGGGCUUACCAAGGUUUUGACGGGUAGCCGGCCUGAGAGGGUGGCCGGCCACAUUGGGACUGAGAUACGGCCCAGAAUCCUACGGGAGGCAGCAGGGGGGAAUAUUGCACAAUGGGCGGAAGCCUGAUGCAGCAACGCCGCGUGCGGGAUGACGGCCUUCGGGUUGUAAACCGCUUUCGCCUGUGACGAAGCGUGAGUGACGGUAAUGGGUAAAGAAGCACCGGCUAACUACGUG